CAAUAGCGUAUAUUAAAAUUGCUGUAGUUAAAAAGCUCGUAGUUGGAUUUCUGGAAUGAAGAUCCGGUCCGCUUGCCUUUGGUGAGUGUGUACUAUGGAUUAUCGUUCCAUUUUACUAGAGCUGCUUUCUGCCAUUAAGUUGGUGGGAAGCUUUGUUCUAGUUCUUUUACUGUGAAUAACUCAGCUUGCCCCAGAAAGGCAUUUGCCAUAUUUUGAAUGUAUUAGCAUGGAAUAAUAAGAUAAGACUUUGGUGGUCUGUUUUGUUGGUUUACACGCCAGAGUAAUGAUUAAUAGGGACAGUUGUGGAUAUCUAUAUUGCAAUGUCAGAGGUGAAAUUCUUGGAUCAUUGCAAGAUAAACUAAUGCGAAAGCAUUUAUCAAGGAUGUUUUCUUUAA
Molecule: ribosomal RNA, 395 nt
Filed under: uncultured eukaryote
Lineage: Eukaryota
Description: partial 18S ribosomal RNA
Rfam family: Eukaryotic small subunit ribosomal RNA
Source: RNAcentral